This 500-nucleotide ribosomal RNA is filed under the name uncultured bacterium. RNAcentral describes it as "partial 16S ribosomal RNA". It matches the Rfam family "Bacterial small subunit ribosomal RNA", at positions 30 to 523 of the family's 1533-position model. The record is from RNAcentral.
AUUGAACGCUGGCGGCAUGCUUUACACAUGCAAGUCGAACGGUAACAGGGUGCUUGCACCGCUGACGAGUGGCGAACGGGUGAGUAAUGCGUCGGAACGUGCCGAGUAGUGGGGGAUAACGCAGCGAAAGUUGUGCUAAUACCGCAUACGUACUGAGGUAGAAAGUGGGGGACCUUCGGGCCUCACGCUAUUCGAGCGGCCGACGGCUGUUUAGCUAGUAGGUGAGGUAAAGGCUCACCUAGGCGACGAUCAGUAGCGGGUCUGAGAGGAUGAUCCGCCACACUGGGACUGAGACACGGCCCAGACUCCUACGGGAGGCAGCAGUGGGGAAUUUUGGACAAUGGGCGAAAGCCUGAUCCAGCCAUGCCGCGUGUCUGAAGAAGGCCUUCGGGUUGUAAAGGACUUUUGUCAGGGAGGAAAUCCCUAGUGCUAAUAACACUGGGGGAUGACAGUACCUGAAGAAUAAGCACCGGCUAACUACGUGCCAGCCGCCGCGGUAA